AGUGAACGCUGGCGGUAGGCCUAACACAUGCAAGUCGAACGGCAGCACAGUAAGAGCUUGCUCUUACGGGUGGCGAGUGGCGGACGGGUGAGGAAUACAUCGGAAUCUACUUUUUCGUGGGGGAUAACGUAGGGAAACUUACGCUAAUACCGCAUACGACCUACGGGUGAAAGCAGGGGAUCUUCGGACCUUUCGCGAUUGAAUGAGCCGAUGUCGGAUUAGCUAGUUGGCGGGGUAAAGGCCCACCAAGGCGACGAUCCGUAGCUGGUCUGAGAGGAUGAUCAGCCACACUGGAACUGAGACACGGUCCAGACUCCUACGGGAGGCAGCAGUGGGGAAUAUUGGACAAUGGGCGCAAGCCUGAUCCAGCCAUACCGCGUGGGUGAAGAAGGCCUUCGGGUUGUAAAGCCCUUUUGUUGGGAAAGAAAAGCAGCAGGUGAAUACCCCGCUGUUCUGACGGUACCCAAAGAAUAAGCACCGGCUAACUUCGUG
Molecule: ribosomal RNA, 492 nt
Filed under: uncultured bacterium
Lineage: Bacteria
Description: partial 16S ribosomal RNA
Rfam family: Bacterial small subunit ribosomal RNA
Source: RNAcentral